UUCCGAUCGGACUCGGAGGUCC
Molecule: microRNA, 22 nt
Filed under: Electrophorus electricus (electric eel)
Lineage: Eukaryota; Metazoa; Chordata; Actinopteri; Gymnotiformes; Gymnotidae
Description: eel-miR-11063-3p
Source: miRBase by way of RNAcentral